AGCGAACGCUGGCGGCAGGCCUAACACAUGCAAGUCGAACGAACCUUUCGGGGUUAGUGGCGGACGGGUGAGUAACACGUGGGAACGUGCCUUUAGGUUCGGAAUAACUCAGGGAAACUUGUGCUAAUACCGAAUGUGCCCUUCGGGGGAAAGAUUAAUCGCCUUUAGAGCGGCCCGCGUCUGAUUAGCUAGUUGGUUGAGGGAAUGGCUCACCAAGGCGACGAUCAGUAGCUGGUCUGAGAGGAUGAUCAGCCACAUUGGGACUGAGACACGGCCCAACCUCCUACGGGAGGCAGCAGUGGGGAAUCUUGCGCAAUGGGCGAAAGCCUGACGCAGCCAUGCCGCGUGAAUGAUGAAGGUCUUAGGAUUGUAAAAUUCUUUCACCGGGGACGAUAAUGACGGUACCCGGAGAAGAAGCCCCGGCUAACUUCGUG
RNAcentral lists this ribosomal RNA (434 nucleotides) under uncultured bacterium. RNAcentral's name for it is "partial 16S ribosomal RNA". It matches the Rfam family "Bacterial small subunit ribosomal RNA", at positions 29 to 507 of the family's 1533-position model. The record is from RNAcentral.